RNAcentral lists this ribosomal RNA (375 nucleotides) under uncultured organism. RNAcentral's name for it is "bacterial SSU rRNA". It matches the Rfam family "Bacterial small subunit ribosomal RNA", at positions 526 to 896 of the family's 1533-position model. The record is from RNAcentral.
CGGAGGGUGCAAGCGUUGUUCGGAAUUACUGGGCGUAAAGCGCGUGCAGGCGGCCGACUUAAGUCCGGUGUGAAAGCCCGGGGCUCACCCCCGGAAGUGCGCUGGAAACUGAUCGGCUAGAGUACGGGAGAGGGAAGCGGAAUUCCUGGUGUAGCGGUGAAAUGCGUAGAUAUCAGGAGGAACACCGGCGGCGAAGGCGGCUUCCUGGACCGAUACUGACGCUGAGACGCGAAAGCGUCGGGGAGCAAACAGGAUUAGAUACCCUGGUAGUCCACGCUGUAAACGAUGGGUACUAGGUGUCGCGGGUGUUGACCCCUGCGGUGCCGCAGCUAACGCAUUAAGUACCCCGCCUGGGGAUUACGGUCGCCAAGAUUA